CAAUAGCGUAUAUUUAAGUUGUUGCAGUUAAAAAGCUCGUAGUUGGAUUUCGGAUGGGAUUUGCCGGUCCGUCGUUACGAUGUGCACUGGCCAGUCCUAUCUUGUUGUCGGGGACUAGCUCCUUGGAUUCACUUCCUGGGACUAGGAGCUGACGAGGUUACUUUGAGUAAAUUAGAGUGUUCAAAGCAAGCCUACGCUCUGAAUACAUUAGCAUGGAAUAACACGAUAGGACUCUGGCUUAUCUUGUUGGUCUGUGAGACCAGAGUAAUGAUUAAGAGGGACAGUCGGGGACAUUCGUAUUUCAUUGUCAGAGGUGAGAUUCUUGGAUUUAUGAAGGACGAACUUCUGCGAAAGCAUUUGUCAAGGAUGUUUUCAUUAA
RNAcentral lists this ribosomal RNA (379 nucleotides) under uncultured eukaryote. Its description in RNAcentral is "partial 18S ribosomal RNA". It matches the Rfam family "Eukaryotic small subunit ribosomal RNA", at positions 592 to 976 of the family's 1831-position model. The record is from RNAcentral.